UACACUUUACUGCCUAUAAAUUACUUAAUCUGUUUCAUCAUGAUUUGAAUUACUUAAAGUUAGGUUUAGCUUACUUGCAUAUGAGCAUUCUCAACUAUAUACAAAAGUUGAACUUUUGAUUUUAGGAGAUGCAUACAGUACCUUUUGAAGGGUUAAUUUGAGUUCAUAUGGAUUGUGGUCCCACAUACAAGCAAGUAUGUACAUUGAAGCCUCAGGAGAACCAUGAGAUAAGAAUGUUGGUUGUUUUGGUUUUCUUCAAGAUUUGAUGUUGAAGUUUUAAUUGAGGACUAAAUUGGCCUUUUGAUUAGUUUAUAUUUUGAAUAGUGAAGGAUGUUCCAACUUGGGAGCUACCAAGAAACAUGCAUUUAUCUGUAAACAAGACAUUUUGGAGACACAAUUAUGGUUGGUACAAGAAUGACUAUUAUGAGAAUUGACGCCAUUUUUUCAAGCUGCCAAAUCGUACACGUCUCACAAGGAAGCAAUUGAAGUUAGACAACCAUAUAUAAGAGCUCUAGGAAUAGAAGAAACAAUCGCAUGCCCAUUUUUCAACAGAAGAUGUUGAAGAAUUUAAACAACUGCAUCAGAUAAGAAUGCAUAUCAAAAUAUUUGCUACAAGAAACCAUUCGUAUAUGGUCAUUGUGUUUUGUCUUCUUACGGGUGCUAUCUUGGAUGGUGUUGAAAUUCUUUCGACCACUGCCUAUGCGACAACACUUUCAACGCGACAUUCAUACAUCGUCGGCUACAUUGCAUACUUUGUCCGCCGCAACGCGGCGGGAUACAUCC
Long non-coding RNA from Helianthus annuus (common sunflower), 783 nucleotides. RefSeq lists it as uncharacterized. Lineage: Eukaryota; Viridiplantae; Streptophyta; Magnoliopsida; Asterales; Asteraceae. The record is from RefSeq and is a predicted model, not a curated record. The transcript is spliced from 3 exons.